Molecule: non-coding RNA, 85 nt
Organism: Ilex paraguariensis (yerba mate)
Lineage: Eukaryota; Viridiplantae; Streptophyta; Magnoliopsida; Aquifoliales; Aquifoliaceae
Source: the annotation of a GenBank genome assembly
GGAUCCAUAAGCUCAAAAUGGAAAGAGCACCCAAACAGUGGUUUAUAUGUUUGGGAGGAUGGUGGUUCGACUCCACCUGGGUCCU